RNAcentral lists this ribosomal RNA (253 nucleotides) under uncultured bacterium. RNAcentral describes it as "partial 16S ribosomal RNA". It matches the Rfam family "Bacterial small subunit ribosomal RNA", at positions 524 to 776 of the family's 1533-position model. The record is from RNAcentral.
UACGAAGGGGGCUAGCGUUGCUCGGAAUGACUGGGCGUAAAGGGCGCGUAGGCGGUUUAUACAGUCAGAUGUGAAAUUCCAGGGCUUAACCUUGGGGCUGCAUUUGAUACGUGUAGACUAGAGUGUGAGAGAGGGUUGUGGAAUUCCCAGUGUAGAGGUGAAAUUCGUAGAUAUUGGGAAGAACACCGGUGGCGAAGGCGGCAACCUGGCUCAUUACUGACGCUGAGGCGCGAAAGCGUGGGGAGCAAACAGG